This 253-nucleotide ribosomal RNA is filed under the name uncultured bacterium. Its description in RNAcentral is "partial 16S ribosomal RNA". It matches the Rfam family "Bacterial small subunit ribosomal RNA", at positions 524 to 776 of the family's 1533-position model. The record is from RNAcentral.
UACGGGGGGUGCAAGCGUUAUUCGGAAUUAUUGGGCGUAAAGGGUGCGUAGGCGGUUUUGUAAGUUAGAUGUGAAAUACCGGGGCUUAACUUCGGAACUGCAUUUGAUACUGCGAGACUUGAGUAUGGGAGAGGAGAGCGGAAUUCCUGGUGUAGAGGUGAAAUUCGUAGAUAUCAGGAGGAACACCGGUGGCGAAGGCGGCUCUCUGGACCAAUACUGACGCUGAGGCACGAAGGCGUGGGGAGCAAACAGG